RNAcentral lists this long non-coding RNA (1718 nucleotides) under Papio anubis (olive baboon). RNAcentral's name for it is "lncRNA (ENSPANG00000038717.1)". The record is from RNAcentral. Lineage: Eukaryota; Metazoa; Chordata; Mammalia; Primates; Cercopithecidae.
GCUAAAAAGAUGAAUAGAAAGUAUUCAAUAGAAGGAGGAAGAGAAGAGCAUUUCAGACAAAGGGAAUUGCACGUACAAAGCACAGAGGCAAAGGAGCUGGUUGCUUGUUCAAAAACCGAGAUUUAGGUAUGACUGAAGCAUAGAGGAUGUGUGGGAAACUGACAAGAGUUGGGGCUGCAGAGAUGGUGCAGUGCUCAACGUGCGGUUAUAUUAAGGCCAUUGGUGUGAGUGCACUGUAGGGUUUCAAGUAGGGAGAGACAAGCUUCUGCUUGGUUCUUAGAUCAUUCUCAGAGUAGUAUGGAGGCUAAGAUGGGUAAGACAUAUGUGCACACAUGCACCCACACUUACACUCACAUACAUACGCACUCAUAUACCCACACCUACAUACACACACAUGCAUAUGCACACAUGCACCCACACAUACACACACAUGCAUUUGCACACAGCACCCUCACAUACACACACACGUGCAUAUGCACACAUGCACCCACACACAUGCAUAUGCACACAUGCACCCCACACAUGCAUAUGCACAUAUGCACCCACACAUACAUGCACCCACACAUCCAUACACACAUAUGCACACAUGCACUCCCACCCACAUGUAUAUGCACACAUGCACUCCCCCACAUGCAUAUGCACAUAUGCACCCACACAUAAAUGCACACACACAUGCAUAUGGGCACAUGCACCCACACACACAUGCAUAUGCAUGCAUGCACCCCCACAGACAUGUAUAUGCACAUAUGCACCCACACAUACAUACACACACACAUGCAUAUGUGCACAUGCACCCACACAUACACACACAGGCAUAUGCACACAUGCACCCACACAUAUACACACAUGCAUAUGUGCACACACACCCACACAUGUAUGCAUAUGAGCACAUGCACUCACAUAUACAUACACACAUGCAUGAACACACGUACCCACACACACAUAUGCAUAUGUACAUAUGUGCACACAUGCACUCACCCCUACACAAAUACAUAUGCACACAUGUGCACACAUGCACCCACCCACCCACAAGCAUAUGUACACAUGCACCACACAUACACACACAUGAAUAUGUAUGCAUGCACCCAUACACAUAUAUACACAUGCAUAUGGACACCCACACCCACACACACAUGCACAUAUGCAUAUACACACAUGUGGCACACCUGCACCCACCCCCCCACAAAAUACAUAUGCAUAUAUGUGCACGCAUGCACCCACACACAUACACACAUGUGCACACAUCCACACACAUGCAUAUCCACACAUGCACCCACACACAUACAUGCACCCACACACUCAUGCAUGUGUACACAUACACCUACAGAUACAUACCCACACAUGCAUAUGCACACAUGCACCCACACAUACAUAUACACACAUGCGUAUGCAUGCCUGUGCACACAUAUAAAACCCACAUCCAAAUGUUAUGGAAACUUUUGUCUAUCUUUCCUUAUUUUUUCCACUUUCUUUUUCACAGUCAGAUCUUUGAUCUACCUAGAAUUUAUGUUUGUUUAUGAUGUUAAGUAGCUUUGCUUUUCUUUCAAAUGUUUAACCAAUUGUCCCAAUACCACGAAGUUAAUAAACUAUCCUUUUUAUAAAUAACCUGAAAUGUCAUACUCGUUAUAUAUUAAAUGCCUAUAGCUUUCAGAGACGGCUUCUGAACACUUCAAGUAAGUCAUCUAUUUUGUACCAAGCUUUUCGAAAUACUAUAGUUU